RNAcentral lists this ribosomal RNA (438 nucleotides) under Capnocytophaga granulosa. RNAcentral describes it as "bacterial SSU rRNA". It matches the Rfam family "Bacterial small subunit ribosomal RNA", at positions 28 to 472 of the family's 1533-position model. The record is from RNAcentral. Lineage: Bacteria; Pseudomonadati; Bacteroidota; Flavobacteriia; Flavobacteriales; Flavobacteriaceae.
GAUGAACGCUAGCGGCAGGCCUAACACAUGCAAGUCGAGGGAGAAGCCCUUCGGGGCAGAAACCGGCGCACGGGUGCGUAACGCGUAUGCAACCUACCUUUCACAGGGGGAUAGCCCGAAGAAAUUUGGAUUAAUACCCCAUAAUAUUAUUGGGUGGCAUCAUUUGAUAAUUAAAAUUACGAUGGUGAAAGAUGGGCAUGCGUCCUAUUAGCUAGUUGGAGUGGUAACGGCACCCCAAGGCUACGAUAGGUAGGGGUCCUGAGAGGGAGAUCCCCCACACUGGUACUGAGACAGGGACCAGACUCCUACGGGAGGCAGCAGUGAGGAAUAUUGGUCAAUGGUCGGAAGACUGAACCAGCCAUGCCGCGUGCAGGAAGAAUGCCUUAUGGGUUGUAAACUGCUUUUAUAUGGGAAGAAUAAGGAGUACGCGUACUUUGA